AACGAACGCUGGCGGCAUGCCUAACACAUGCAAGUCGAACGAGACCUUCGGGUCUAGUGGCGCACGGGUGCGUAACGCGUGGGAAUCUGCCCUUGGGUUCGGAAUAACAGUUAGAAACGACUGCUAAUACCGGAUAAUGUCUUCGGACCAAAGAUUUAUCGCCCAGGGAUGAGCCCGCGUAGGAUUAGCUAGUUGGUGAGGUAAAGGCUCACCAAGGCGACGAUCCUUAGCUGGUCUGAGAGGAUGAUCAGCCACACUGGGACUGAGACACGGCCCAGACUCCUACGGGAGGCAGCAGUGGGGAAUAUUGGACAAUGGGCGAAAGCCUGAUCCAGCAAUGCCGCGUGAGUGAUGAAGGCCUUAGGGUUGUAAAGCUCUUUUACCCGGGUAUGAUAAUGACAGUACCGGGAGAAUAAGCCCCGGCUAACUCCGUGCCAGCAGCCGCGGUAAU
RNAcentral lists this ribosomal RNA (451 nucleotides) under uncultured bacterium. RNAcentral describes it as "bacterial SSU rRNA". It matches the Rfam family "Bacterial small subunit ribosomal RNA", at positions 29 to 524 of the family's 1533-position model. The record is from RNAcentral.